Molecule: ribosomal RNA, 511 nt
Filed under: uncultured bacterium
Lineage: Bacteria
Description: bacterial SSU rRNA
Rfam family: Bacterial small subunit ribosomal RNA
Source: RNAcentral
CUGGCUCAGGAUGAACGCUGGCGGCAGGCUUAAUACAUGCAAGUCGAACGGUAAGGCCGAGCGUAGCAAUACGUGAGGUACACGAGUGGCGCACGGGUGCGUAACGCGUAUGCAAUCUGCCCCCGACCGGGACAAAACAGCUGGAAACGGCUGCUAAUAUCCCAUGGUCAUGAGAGACGGCAUCGUUUUUCAUGUAAAGAUUCAUUGGUCGGGGAUGAGCAUGCGUAUUAUUAGGUAGUUGGUGGGGUAACGGCCCACCAAGCCGACGAUGAUUAGGGGUUCUGAGAGGAUUAACCCCCACACUGGAACUGAGACACGGUCCAGACUCCUACGGGAGGCAGCAGUAGGGAAUAUUGGGCAAUGGAGGCAACUCUGACCCAGCCAUGCCCGCGUGAAGGAAGACGGCCCUAUGGGUUGUAAACUUCUUUUGCCGCAGAGUAAACCCGGUCACGUGUGGCCGGUUGAGAGUAUGCGGCGAAUAAGUAUCGGCUAACUCCGUGCCAGCCGCUGC